UGAAUACGAGACGCUAAGGCGUCGAAGUAGUGUAUGUCAUACUUCCAAGAAAAGCUUGCACUGUCAUAGAUAAAAAACGCCUGUACCAUAACCGACACAGGUGGGUAGGUAGAGUAUACUAAGGCCGGGAGAUAACUCUCUCUAAGGAACUCGGCAAAAUAACUCCGUAACUUCGGGAGAAGGAGUGCCUUAUUCGUAAGGUUGCAAUAACAAGAUCCAAGCAACUGUUUAUCAAAAACACAGGUCUCCGCUAAGUCGUAAGACGAUGUAUGGGGGCUGACGCCUGCCCAGUGCCAGAAGGUUAAAGAAGUUGGUUAGCAAUUGCGAAGCUGAUAACUGAAGCCCUGGUGAACGGCGGCCGUAACUAUAACGGUCCUAAGGUAGCGAAAUUCCUUGUCGGGUAAGUUCCGACCCGCACGAAAGGCGUAAUGAUUUGGAUACUGUCUCGGAGAGGGGCUCGGUGAAAUAGACUUGUCUGUGAAGAUGCGGACUACCUGCACCAGGACAGAAAGACCCUAUGAAGUUUUACUGUAACUUGAAAUUGAAAUUGGACUUUAUUCGCGCAGUAUAGGUGGGAGGCGUUGAUUAUAAUCUUGUGGGAUUAUUGGAGCCAUCAGUGAGAUACCACUCUUGUAAUGUUAGAUUUCUAACUUUGAAUCAUUAUCUGGUCAAAGAACAGUUUCAGGCGGGCAGUUUGACUGGGGCGGUCGCCUCCUAAACGGUAACGGAGGCGUACAAAGGUUUCCUCUGAACGGUUAGAAAUCGUAUCUAGAGUGUAAAGGCAUAAGGAAGCUUGACUGUGAGACCUACAAGUCGAGCAGGGACGAAAGUCGGUCUUAGUGAUCUGACGGUACUGAGUGGAAAGGCCGUCACUCAACGGAUAAAAGUUACUCUAAGGAUAACAGGCUGAUCUCCCCCAAGAGUUCACAUCGACGGGGAGGUUUGGCACCUCGAUGUCGGCUCAUCGCAUCCUGGGGCGGUAGUACGUCCCAAGGGUUGGGCUGUUCGCCCAUGAAAGCGGUACACGAGCUGGGUUCAGAACGUCGUGAGACAGUUCGGUCCAUAUCCGGUGUAGGCGUUAGAAUAUUGAGAGGAGCCUUCUUUAGUACGAGAGGACCGAGAAGGACAUACCUCUGGUGUACCAGUUAUCGUGCCAACGGUAAACGCUGGGUAGCUAUGUAUGGAGUGGAUAACCGCUGAAAGCAUCUAAGUGGGAAGCCCACCUCAAGAUAAG
This 1234-nucleotide ribosomal RNA is filed under the name metagenome. Its description in RNAcentral is "bacterial LSU rRNA". It matches the Rfam family "Bacterial large subunit ribosomal RNA", at positions 1564 to 2808 of the family's 2925-position model. The record is from RNAcentral.